Molecule: ribosomal RNA, 253 nt
Filed under: uncultured bacterium
Lineage: Bacteria
Description: partial 16S ribosomal RNA
Rfam family: Bacterial small subunit ribosomal RNA
Source: RNAcentral
UACGAAGGGGGCUAGCGUUGCUCGGAAUCACUGGGCGUAAAGCGCACGUAGGCGGCUUUCUAAGUCAGGGGUGAAAUCCUGGAGCUCAACUCCAGAACUGCCUUUGAUACUGGGAAGCUCGAGUCCGGAAGAGGUGAGUGGAACUCCGAGUGUAGAGGUGAAAUUCGUAGAUAUUCGGAAGAACACCAGUGGCGAAGGCGGCUCACUGGUCCGGUACUGACGCUGAGACGCGAAAGCGUGGGGAGCGAACAGG